Molecule: ribosomal RNA, 1047 nt
Filed under: uncultured Bacteroides sp.
Lineage: Bacteria; Pseudomonadati; Bacteroidota; Bacteroidia; Bacteroidales; Bacteroidaceae
Description: bacterial SSU rRNA
Rfam family: Bacterial small subunit ribosomal RNA
Source: RNAcentral
UNNAGGAAUAAAGUCGGGUAUGGAUACCCGUUCGCAUGUACUUUAUGAAUAAGGAUCGGCUAACUCCGUGCCAGCAGCCGCGGUAAUACGGAGGAUCCGAGCGUUAUCCGGAUUUAUUGGGUUUAAAGGGAGCGUAGAUGGAUGUUUAAGUCAGUUGUGAAAGUUUGCGGCUCAACCGUAAAAUUGCAGUUGAUACUGGAUAUCUUGAGUGCAGUUGAGGCAGGCGGAAUUCGUGGUGUAGCGGUGAAAUGCUUAGAUAUCACGAAGAACUCCGAUUGCGAAGGCAGCCUGCUAAGCUGCAACUGACAUUGAGGCUCGAAAGUGUGGGUAUCAAACAGGAUUAGAUACCCUGGUAGUCCACACGGUAAACGAUGAAUACUCGCUGUUUGCGAUAUACAGCAAGCGGCCAAGCGAAAGCGUUAAGUAUUCCACCUGGGGAGUACGCCGGCAACGGUGAAACUCAAAGGAAUUGACGGGGGCCCGCACAAGCGGAGGAACAUGUGGUUUAAUUCGAUGAUACGCGAGGAACCUUACCCGGGCUUAAAUUGCAGAUGAAUUACGGUGAAAGCCGUAAGCCGCAAGGCAUCUGUGAAGGUGCUGCAUGGUUGUCGUCAGCUCGUGCCGUGAGGUGUCGGCUUAAGUGCCAUAACGAGCGCAACCCUUGUUGUCAGUUACUAACAGGUUCCGCUGAGGACUCUGACAAGACUGCCAUCGUAAGAUGUGAGGAAGGUGGGGAUGACGUCAAAUCAGCACGGCCCUUACGUCCGGGGCUACACACGUGUUACAAUGGGGGGUACAGAGGGCCGCUACCACGCGAGUGGAUGCCAAUCCCCAAAACCUCUCUCAGUUCGGACUGGAGUCUGCAACCCGACUCCACGAAGCUGGAUUCGCUAGUAAUCGCGCAUCAGCCACGGCGCGGUGAAUACGUUCCCGGGCCUUGUACACACCGCCCGUCAAGCCAUGGGAGCCGGGGGUACCUGAAGUGCGUAACCGCGAGGAGCGCCCUAGGGUAAAACUGGUGACUGGGGCUAAGUCGUAACAAGGUAA